Molecule: small nucleolar RNA, 139 nt
Organism: Fukomys damarensis (Damara mole-rat)
Lineage: Eukaryota; Metazoa; Chordata; Mammalia; Rodentia; Bathyergidae
Source: Ensembl
GCUCUGUGAUGAAGCCCAUGCGUGUCAUCUGAGCCUGACUUUCCUCUUUUAGCCCAGGUAGUGUUCUACUUCCCAGGGCUGUCAUGUUGACCUAGCAGGGAAGUCAUGGGCAAAGGAUCACUCCUUAAAUUCUGAGAGC